This is a small nucleolar RNA of Tachyglossus aculeatus (Australian echidna), 138 nucleotides long. The record is from RefSeq and is a predicted model, not a curated record. NCBI's taxonomy places the organism in Eukaryota, Metazoa, Chordata, Mammalia, Monotremata, Tachyglossidae.
CCCCUCUUAGGAUCCCACCUGGAGAGUUUCCAGGACUCGACCAGUCUCGGCUAUGGGAGGGAGAGUCAAGCAGAGGCCUAGCCAUUCCAUUCCCAGCUUGGCCAGUGGCUAGGGUGUGGAAGGCAAUCCGCUACAAGU